Molecule: ribosomal RNA, 349 nt
Filed under: uncultured bacterium
Lineage: Bacteria
Description: partial 16S ribosomal RNA
Rfam family: Bacterial small subunit ribosomal RNA
Source: RNAcentral
CCUACGGGUGGCAGCAGUGGGGAAUAUUGGGCAAUGGGCGCAAGCCUGACCCAGCAACGCCGCGUGCAGGAAGAAGGCUUUCGGGUUGUAAACUUCUUUUCUCAGGGACGAAGAAAGUGACGGUACCUGAGGAAUAAGCCGAGGCUAACUACGUGCCAGCAGCCGAGGUAAUACGUGGGUGGCAGGCGUUAUCUGGAUUUGCUGGGUGUAAAGGGCGUGUAGGCGGGACGUCAAGUCAGAUGUGAAAACCACGGGCUCAACCUGUGGCCUGCAUUGGAAACUGUAGGUCUUGAGUACUGGAGAGGCAGACGGAAUUCCUAGUGUAGCGGUGAAAUGCGUAGAUAUUAGG